Molecule: non-coding RNA, 72 nt
Organism: Lipotes vexillifer (Yangtze River dolphin)
Lineage: Eukaryota; Metazoa; Chordata; Mammalia; Artiodactyla; Lipotidae
Source: the annotation of a RefSeq genome assembly
UCCCUGGUGGCCCAGUGGUUAGGGCUUGGCGCUUUCACUGCUGUGGCCUGGGUUCGAUCCCUGGUCAGGGAA